GGGGGCAGAGCUCAGUGGUAGAGCACUUGCCUGGCAUGCACAGUCCCUAGGUUCAAUCCCUAGUACCAUUA
This 71-nucleotide transfer RNA is filed under the name Marmota marmota marmota (Alpine marmot). It matches the Rfam family "tRNA". From Rfam's summary of the family: Transfer RNA (tRNA) molecules are approximately 80 nucleotides in length. RNAcentral also lists the same sequence under 2 other names. The record is from Rfam by way of RNAcentral. Lineage: Eukaryota; Metazoa; Chordata; Mammalia; Rodentia; Sciuridae.